CUUUAAUGUAGAACCUGCUAUCAAAAAUGUCAAAUAUAUAUCCACAGGUAAAGCAUCCAUGAAGGCAGACUCGAGUAAAGCAACUAGUUUAUGGACCAAAGAUUCGUAUUAGGUCAGUAAUUUCCACCAAUCAGAAUGUCGGAUUCGUCAACGUAAGUAAAUGAGGGUGCCGUUCAGCCAAUGCAAACCCAGGGUUUGUUUUGGUAGGCGGGGCUAGCAGUAGGUCGUCCUUCCUAAAGACUUGUGACGGAUUUCUGAUUAAGCCGCCAUGUCAAACCUGGCGAAGCUGUAGAUAUACUGAAUUUUUUUUGUAAAUUAAUUUUUUCAAGGUUAUAAGAAGUAUAUCAAUGGCUUUAUAAAUCUACUGCGACGGCUUUUAAAAUGGACUCAGACACAAAAGAAAAAUCCACAGAAAUUCCAAAAUCUUCCAAAGUUGAAUCAGAGAACCCUGUGAUAGAAACCAAAUCCAGCAGGGGUCGUGGGGUCAGAGGUGGAGGUAGAGGAUGGGGCGCGCUUCGAGGAGGUGGUCAUGGUGGUCGUGGAGUGAUUAAAAGCUUUGGUCCACCUGGACAUGUGAGGGGUCGAGGGACGAAUGGAGCCAUGAAUGGAUUUUUACCAAUAAGGUCCUUAUUUAUGGAAGUAUGAACAACUGUUUCUGAAAAGUUAUCAGAAAGUUUAGAUAAGUCUCAUUUAUUCACAGAGGAACAGGAAGGAUGCAGCCAUACCCAGACUUUGGAGGUCACAGAGGGCGAGGAGGUCCAUGGGGGAUGGGCCCUCCUCCUCCUCCUCCUCCCUUACACUUCAGAGGCCCCUUUCCUCCUCCGCCCAGACAUAGGCCACCUACACCCCCUCCUCUCAGGCACCCUGGUUUUAUGAGGCGCCCCCCUCACCCCCUGGGCCUUGGCAUGCCUCCCUCUGGACCUCCACGACUCUUCCACCCCUUCGGCCCCAGAGGCUACCACAAUGGACCGGUUUCUCCUCCGUCUCACCCUCUCCUCCCUGGCAGAGGCCAGAGGUGGCCAGGCCGACGCUUUUAACACAACUCUCCCUAAACAACCAUUAACAAGGACAGCACACGCUAAACAAAUAUCAGACCUCAAAAGCACGUCGUAGAACCAGAACGCUCGUGAACUGUGUGUGAUGCAAAGAGUCUGCAGAACACUUGAGUUCAUUUGAAACAUCUGUGACCAACUGUUUGGGUUUAUAGUCUCUACUCCAUUGACAACAAAGGACUCAUAAAAUGACCUACAACCUAAUAAUGUAAAGAUCAAUUAAUGAAAUGCAUUAUUUAAUACCCUACAUGUGCAGCUAGAAUCAAUUCCUGUUUGUCAUUAGUUAUCUAUUGUGCAUUUAUAUAUAUAAAAAAUAAUUAGUAAGAUUUAGUAAUGAAGCAUACAGUAUAUUAUCUAUCUAAAUGUAUUUUCUUAUCAAAAGUCAAUUCUAUUUGUAUUUGCCUAGGUGAAGGAUAAGAAAGUCCAUAUCUGCUGUGUUUAGUUAUUGAAGUGUUACUUUUAUAUUUACUGUGAUUUGGGG
RNAcentral lists this long non-coding RNA (1533 nucleotides) under Gouania willdenowi (blunt-snouted clingfish). RNAcentral's name for it is "lncRNA (ENSGWIG00000004506.1)". Lineage: Eukaryota; Metazoa; Chordata; Actinopteri; Blenniiformes; Gobiesocidae. The record is from RNAcentral.